AGAAAGGUCACCGUGCAGCUGAUUACUCAGAGCUCAGUUGCUGUAGCAACCGGCGGGGGAAGUGGGACGGGCGGGCUUUGAGGACGCGUGGGGUCGGCCGCGGGCGGCGGCAGCCGGCGCGGGCCUCGGCGCUCCUGCGGGAGGGAGGCUGCGGCGGCCCGGCUCCGGGCUCUCGUUGCUAACGAAGCCCUGCGCCCCUCUCGCACCCUCCCCGCCCCCGUCCCACCUCCCUGGGGGCCGGAAGGGAGUUCGCCCCUCCCCGGUUCGGCUGCUUCCCGCUCCCCGGUUCCCGCCCCGUCUGUCUCUCCCCCUCUUCCAGGGCUGCCAUGGCUUCUGUCUCUCUCCUCUCUCGGAGCCCAGGGGGACCGGCCCCUUCCCAGCACGCACACCCCUGCACCGGCUUGGAGAGUGACUGGCUCAACAGUUUGUGGUACAUCCCCAAAUGGCACAACCUCAGUAGUAAGAAGAAAGAAGUCCUGAUACACACCACAACACACGCAGCAAUCUCAGGGUCGUGAUGCUGUGAGAGGAGCCAGGCCACAAAGAAUGCAUACUGUGUGAAUUCAUUUCUAGAACAUGCAAACUUACUUUUGGUGACAGAAAGUUCUGUAGUUGCCUGGGGAUCAAUGGGGCCAGGAAGUCUCACAAAGGGGCCCAAGAAAACUUGGGCAAUGGUGGAUGUGUUCACUGUCUUGAUGGUAGUGACAGUUUUAUGAGUGUAUAUGUAUACAUAUGCCCAAACCCAUCAAAUUGUGCACUUCAAAUAUGUGCAGUUAUUGUAUAUCCAUUAUACCUCAGUAAACUGAAAAAUCAAA
Molecule: long non-coding RNA, 815 nt
Organism: Manis pentadactyla (Chinese pangolin)
Lineage: Eukaryota; Metazoa; Chordata; Mammalia; Pholidota; Manidae
Exons: 2
Source: RefSeq, a predicted model, not a curated record